AUACGUAGGGGGCGAGCGUUAUCCGGAUUUAUUGGGUUUAAAGGGAGCGCAGGCGGAGAUGCAAGCGUGACGUCAAAUUUCGGGGCUCAACCCCGUCUCGCGUCGCGAACUGCGUCCCUUGGUUGCGGGAAGGGGAGGCGGAACUCGCGGUGUAGCGGUGAAAUGCAUAGAUAUCACGAAGAACUCCGAUCGCGAAGGCAGCCUUCCGGCCCGUCAACGACGCUCAUGCUCGAAGGUGCGGGUAUCAAACAGGAUUAGAUACCCUGGUAGUCCGCACAGUAAACGAUGGACACCCGCGGUUUGGCCUGUAUGGCUGAGCCGCCAAGCGAAAGCGUUAAGUGUCCCACCUGGGGAGUACGCCGGCAACGGUGAAACUCAAAUGAAUUGGCGGGG
Molecule: ribosomal RNA, 393 nt
Filed under: uncultured bacterium
Lineage: Bacteria
Description: partial 16S ribosomal RNA
Rfam family: Bacterial small subunit ribosomal RNA
Source: RNAcentral